CCGUGUACUAUUCAAUUCAAAGCAGAGGGGCUGAACAGCAAAAAAAACUCAUUGUGCUUCAAGGACAAAACAAAAGACAGUUGACUAAAAGAAUCUCUUUGGGUCUGGUUAGUCAGAGAGAUUUUGGGGAGAAUUUGUCUGAGACUUUGGUGGUCAAGUUUCCCGCCAGAAUUUGAAGGGACACAUCGAUCAGGUUUGACACACUGCUGAUUGCAACAUUAAAUCACUAUCAUGGGCUUGAUUUGUCUCAUCAGGUCAUGUGAAAAAAUUUUGAUGAGCAGACUUCUUUGAGAUUUCUGGAUACCUCUGAAAUAUCUGUUUGGGGAUAAAAUGAAAGAGAGAAAGAGAGAGAGCAGGGGAGAGGCAGAGA
Molecule: long non-coding RNA, 370 nt
Organism: Herpailurus yagouaroundi (jaguarundi)
Lineage: Eukaryota; Metazoa; Chordata; Mammalia; Carnivora; Felidae
Exons: 3
Source: RefSeq, a predicted model, not a curated record